Molecule: long non-coding RNA, 6302 nt
Filed under: Sus scrofa (pig)
Lineage: Eukaryota; Metazoa; Chordata; Mammalia; Artiodactyla; Suidae
Description: lncRNA (ENSSSCG00015059579.1)
Source: RNAcentral
UUUUUUUUUUUUUUUUAACCCACCAUGCUUGGCUGAGGAUUGAACCUGUAUCCUGGCAUCACAGGGAUGCUGCCAAUCUCAUUAUGCCACAGCAGGAACUCCAGCUACCUCUUCUGAGAUACCUUCUGUGUCCCUGAUCUGCAUCCCCCAGCAAAAACAAAUAUUUUAGACACAUUUUACGUAAAUUCCUUUCACUGCCUAUGAGAUAUCCUCCCUUCCUCAAUGCACUUAAAAGACUAUGCUGGGAUUGUUUAUAACUCUGUCUCCCCACUGGUUCAAGAGCCCAUUAGGACUAUGAAUUGAAUCCAUGUAUUUUCAACCUCUAUCUCCAGUGUCUCACACAAUCUCUGGGAUGGAGUAGAUAAGCAUUCAAUAAGUAUUUGUUGAAUUUGUUAAACAGAGAAAUUAAAUUAAAAUUGGUGAUAGCCUCAUUUCUCACUUCUGCCAGAGGGAAUCAAAUGAAAUUGACCUGAUACUUCCACUCUUGACUUCACUGAGUCAUUCUAUAUUUCUCUUAUAGCUCUCAAUUAUUUUUGAAUACUUUCCUUGCCAUUACCAUAACAUAAUCAUGCACAUUUUUAUGAACAUGCAUUCUCUCUUCUCUACAAAUGAAUGGAGUGAAGUGAAGAGUGGGGGAAAGUAUCAUUACAUGGCAAUAUGAGUGCAAAAUGCAGCCCCAAAGCAUCUUUCAAACCUUGGCAUCUGAAUAUUCCCAGGCAGGUCAUUUAAGGUCUGUGAUCCUCCGUUUCCUGAUUUAUAAAUUGAGGAUGAGAAUACCUCCCUCCAGGUGUGGUUGUGGGAGUCAGAGCUAUUAUAUAAAAACCUCUGACAGUGCACCUGGGACACAGUAGGUGCUCCAUAAAUCAUAAUACUAUAAUGUAUGUGAGAGCACUUUGUUAAGCUGUAGAGCAGGAUACAGAUGUUAGUUAGUGUUUCCCCUCAUCCUGGUAUUUCAGUGUUCUCUAGACUCAUCAUAAUUGUAAUACAUAGAAAAGUAUCCAGGAAGAAGCCAUAGUAAAGCCGGGUCCCACUACCAUAGUAACCAAAGAAGGGAAAAAGAAAAGGAAUACAAUGCAUACCUGAUUGCUUUUUGUUAUAUCCCUAUGCUUUGUGGAUGAUCAAUAGCCUCCUCCCCUCUACCACCUAGGAUGAUUUAACAAGUCUUUAUAUCCCUAGAAGUCCCAAGUAAUUGCCUUAUUCUAGUUCUACAAUGGCCAUCACUCCAAAGCAGAGACUUGAGCUGCGGCCUCUGCAGGUCACCUCCAGGCAUGUGAUCACCCUGGUGUCAGUGUCUCUUUAGACUCCUCAGUCUUUCUCCAAAAGCCAGGAACAGAGCUUUACUUAGGACACUUGGGGUUACAAACAAUGAAACCCGACUCCAGCUAGUGUGUCAGGAAAAUAGUAAGGCCUCCAAAUAGAAAUGGAACCAAAAACUGGAAAUACAUUAGGAAUCUGGAAGAGAUGUUAUUUUGUUUCUCUUCCUUGCUUCUCUUUUCUUGCUUGAUUCAUUCGUUCUUCCUCCUCCGUGUCCUGCUUUCUCUGUUUCUCAGCUGGCAGUUGCCAACCUCUCUUCCCAUCCUUAUACUUCUCUGUCUCCCACCAGUGCCGAGUUUUCUGAUGUCCCUCCAUUCUGGCCACACAGAGAAAUUAACUGGCUUUUCUGAAUCUGUUGAGCUCCCUUUUCUCAUCAGUAAUGGUGGGGAAAAGGUGGGAGAGUGUCAUAUGCUGUGAACACAGGAGUCAGGCCCGUCCCUGUGGAUGGGCAGUCAGUUCUCACAAGUCAUAAUGAUUACAGAGGAAAUCAGGUGUACCUGCACAGAGUAUGGUUUGCACAAGGUGACAUAUUUGAGGGUCCAGAGUAUAGGAGAUUAAGUAAUAUCAGAAUCAUUCAAGUUAAAUGAUAGAAAUUUUAUUAUCCUUAACUACCAACUCAUUCCCCUGACCAAUGGCAGCUCAGGUUUGAAGCCAUCAAUAAGCUGUAGGACAGGCCCCCUUUUCCUUUAUUGUUUUUAGACACUGUCUGUAUGCUGCUAAGCCACCUUGUUAGGUCUUGUUGAUCUUUGGAAGAAGACUAUACAGUAGAAAGUCCAGACCUGCAUCUGAGUUCUGAUUCUAUGACCUGAGUAAGUCUCACUACUCCUCAAACCUUCAGGGUACACACUUGCAAGAGGGGGAUGAUAGCAUCUGCCCUUCCUACUCUUGGAAAUGUUAGGAUAGUGUCUACAAAUAUGGGAUAAAAAACAUUUUGACAACUAUAAAUCAUUUUAUGAGUGUCAAUAAGCACUGAAGCUAAAAUUCUGAUUCUAGGGUCCCUCUGAUCUACAUUUAAAUUCUGGCCCAACUACUUAUUAGAGUGUCACUUUGGGCAAGUUAUGGCCCUCUGAACCUCAGUUUCCUUAUCUGUAAAAUUGGCAUUAAAAAGAUUGUCUUCUGGGAGUUCCCGUCGUGGCGAAGUGGUUAACAAAUCUGACUAGGAACCAUGAGUUUGCAGGUUCGGUCCCUGCCCUUGCUCAGUGGGUUAACGAUCCGGCAUUGCCCUGAGCUCUGGUGUAGGUUGCAGAUGCAGCUCGGAUCCUGUGUUGCUGUGGCUGUGGCUGUGGCCGGCAGCUACAGCUCUGAUUAGACCCCUAGCCUGGGAACCUCCAUAUACUGUGGGAGUGGCCCAAUAAAUGGCAAAAAGACAACAACAACAAAAAAAAAGAUUGUCUUCUGUUAAGUGUUAAAUGUGACUGUGUGAAUAAAGUGCUUUGUACAGUGUCUGCUAUUCAAAAAUUCUUCAUUAUUCAUUAUUCAUCUUAAUUAUAAUGUUUUAUAACAUUAUUAAUUCCUAUCGGGGCUAUAGAUUGAACUUUUAGCUUCUUUCUAAAACUAACAAAAUUUUAGUUACCUUUUGUUACUAGAAAAGAAGUUAGACUUUGACUCCAAAGUAGUUGAUUUUCCUAUCUCCACAGAACAUUUGCUUCUUAGGUAGAUUCUUUUUCUUUAAUCCACGAAAGACUUUGUCUUUCUACUUUUAUAUCUUGAGACCCUAGAGACUCUGAGUUCAGAGUCUCUGCCUUUAGCUGUCAGGUCCUGCUUUCUAGGCCUUUCAUCUCAAAAUCAGCCAUGUUGGCUCUUGCCUGUCACUUUUUGUCUCCUUCUUCAAUUAUUCAUUUGUUGAUUAGUUUUUGGACUGAGAUGAUCGAAGCCUUCCAAACGCUACCACUAGUAUUAAGUUGUUUUUUUUUUUUCCUGUGUAAUCCCAAACGUCAGAAAUAGAACUAAUAGGAGGAUUCCAAAUGGGUGCAGGUAUCUGGUUAAAUAGAACAAAAGUUAGAUCUUUCUAUUUAUUGCCUAUGGGUAGAAUAGGCAAUAUUUACUCCUGAGAAAUGUUGAAACAGAAUCUAGACAGCCACAUGACACAAAGUUAAGGAGAAUCAAGCACCGGAUGGAGGCUGGAGCUAGAUGAAUGAUCUUCAAAGCCCAUCUUGAAUCUUCCCCUAUAGUGUACCUAUCGCCCCACCAAGCAACACGAAUACAGGGAAGGGGGGAGGGGGGCCUGACUCCCAAGUUCCAAAGGCAGAGAGAGUCAGGCUGGUGUUCGCAAGGUGUGAGUCUGUGUUUAGGUGACUGCAUUUCAAAAAUAUAUCUAUGUCUUUUGAGUGGAGCAUUCAGUCUGUUGACAUUUAAGGAAUGACUGCUAAAUAUGUAUUUAUUGCCAUUUUAAACCUUGUUUUCCAGUUGAUUCUAUGUUUCUCCUUUUUCCUUUCUUUUUUUGGUUGGAUGAUUUCCAUAUAUUUUAUGCUGGAGUACUUUUCUUUUUAGUUUUUGUGAAUGUAAUGUUUGGUUUUGAUUUGUGGUUGCCCUGUUUUUUAGGUACUUUAACGCCUUCCUGUAUCUGUUUGCUUUAGCCUGAUAGUCAUAUAGGCUCAAAAUUAUUAUUUAAAAAAAAAAAAUAAGAGUCUAUAUUUUCUUACUUUCCUUCCCCACAUUGUAUGAUUUUGAAGUCCUUUUUUAACAUCUUCAUGUUUGUCGUUUUGCUGUUCCUUGUGUUUAUCAUCACUAUUAUAUAGUUGGAUUUUGGGGUUUUUUUCACUCUAAGAUCUGUAUGCUGGUUUAUUUAAGUGAUUACUUUCCAAUUGUAGUUUCCUCCAUCCUAUUUCUUCUUACUUUUUUUAUUUAGAGACGCUCUUUCAGUAUUUCUUUUAGAAUGUGUUUAGUAUUGCUGUACUCUUUUAGCUUUUGUUUGUUGGAGAAAUUCUAUAUUUCCCCUUCUAUUUUAGAUGAUAUUCUUGCUGGAUAGAGUAUUCUAGGCUGCAAAUGUUUUCCUUUCAGAACUUUGAAUAUAUCUUGCCACUCUCUUCUAGCCUGUAGUGUUUCUGUAGAGAAAGCAGCUGAUAGCCUUAUGGGGGUUCCCUUAUAAUUAAUGCCUUGUUUUUCUCUUGCUGCCUUUAAAAUCCUCUCUUUAUCUUUACCUUUUGCCAUUUUUAUUAUACUAUGUCUUGGUGUGGGCCUAUUUGGGUUCAACUUGUCUGGGGUCUUCUGUGCUUCCUGUAUCUUGAUAUCAGUUUCCUUUAGAUUUGGAAAGUUUUCAGACAUAAUUUCUUCAAAUAUAUUUUCAAUCCCCUUUUCAAAAACUUCUCCUUCUGGAAUUCCUAUUAUGCAUAGAUUGACCCACUUUAUGUUAUCCCAUAGAUCUCUUAUAUUGCUUUCAUGCCUUUUCAUUUGGUUUUCUGUCUGCUGUCCUGAUUGAGUGAUUUCCAUUAUUCUAUCUUCCAAGUCACUAAUUCAUUCCUCUGCAUUAUUCAUUCUGCUCCUUAGUGACGUUAGCUCAGUUUGCAUCUCUGCAAAUGAAUUUUCUAAUUUUCUAUGUUUCUCUUUAUAUUUUCUAGUUCAUUUCUAAAGGAAUCUGCAUUACUAUUCAUAUCCACUCUUAAUUCAGCCUUAAUUCCUUCAGUAUUUUCAUUAUUUCCCUUGUGAACUCAGUGUCUAUUAGACUGCAGAGCUCUGUUUCAUUGUUUGCUGCUUCAGGUGAAUUCUCCUGUUCUUUUAACUGGGAAUGGUUCCUAAGCUUCUUUAUAUUGCUUAUGUUUUUCUUUUUCUGUGAGUUUAGGGAAGCCAAAGUGUGGUCUUGGAGGGUUACUUCUAUGCAAGAGCACCCCUUUGUAUUUUGUAGAGGGUUACUAUUUAUUUUUUGCAUGGGAAUUUGGAUAUUUGCUGUCUCUUUCUUUGGUGUGAGCAGGCUGUUAUCCCCAGAGUGCUGAGUGUGUUUCUAGGGAAAAGGAAGCAAUAGGUAGGGCUAGUAGUCAGGGCCUGAUUGCUGGGCUGUUAACAGCAGCAAGUACCUGCAGGAAGGUGGCACAAGCUACUCCUAGUUGCAGGGCCCUGGAACGUGGUAAUGAGCCUUAAGCAGAUUUACAAGAUGCCCAGAGCAUUUGGCAGUGGCAGGGGGUAUGAGUUCCCAGGGGAGUAAGAGCAGCAACAGAUAGUAUUGGCUAGCAAUGCCACCUCUGAGAUGAUUGGGGCCACAAGCAAUGCCUGUUAAGGGACCCCUAGUGUUAGCAGGCCAUGCCCACUUCUGGAGUCAGUGAUAACUGUGGUGGUUUGCCCCUGCCACCUGUAUACCAUGCAAGAAGCACCCCUCCUGCUUAGCCCACAUAGGAGGUGCUGUACAGGCUGCUCCUAGUUGCAGAAUCCUGGAAAGUAAGAGUGAUCAAGUGUGUGGGCACUGCCUGGAAAGAAACAAAGGACAAACAGAAUAAACUGGAAACAAAGUUUAAAAUGGCAAUAAAUACAUAUUUAUCAAUAAUUACCUUAAGUGUCAAUGGACUGAAUGCUCCAAUCAAAGACACAGAGUGAAAGAUUGGAUAAAAAAGGAAAAAAACCUACAAUCUACUCUCUACAAGAGACCCACGUUAGGGCAAAGGAUGCAUAUAGAUUGAAGGUGAAGGGAUAGGAAAAGAUAUUUCAUGCCAAUGGACGAGACAGGAAAGCAGGAGUUGCAAUACUUAUAUCAGACAAAGUAGACUUUAAAUUGAAGGCCAUAAAGAAAGACAAAGAAGGACACUAUUUAAUGGUAAAAGGAUCCAUUCAAGAAGAGGAUGUUACAAUCAUCAAUAUCUAUGCCCCUAAUAUAGGAGCACCCAGAUACCUACAACAUAUACUAACACAUAUAAAAGGAGAAAUUGGAGUUCCCAUUGUGGCACAGUGGUUAACGAAUCCGACUAGGAACCAUGAGGUUGCGGGUUCGGUCCCUGCCCUUGCUCAGUGGGUUAAGGGUCCAGCGUUGCCAUGAGCUGUGGUGUAGGUCGCAGACGCAGCUC